This 1916-nucleotide non-coding RNA is filed under the name synthetic construct. The record is from RNAcentral.
GACAUGGCUAACCAGAAGAAGCUGAUAGACGAGCUCUGUGGGAUUGUUACUUCUUUUCUAUGUCCCCAGGGGAUUGUGCCAGAGAUUGAAAAAUGUUCUACAAAGCUGCCUCAUUUUUCUAAAGGUGGAACAAAGCCUGUGUGCACAGUGAGGCUCCAGCAUGGCCACACUUAUCACAUUGAGUUUGUGUACAAGUUUUGGCAGCACAUUUUGGGCCAGCUUCGCCUGCCCCUACAGCCUUGCUUUAUUUUGACAAAUAACGGCUUGGCCACCACUUUGAAAUGUUUUAUGAGCCCGCCAAGGGAUAUAGACUUUCAGUAUGGCAACAGGGUCAAUAUGGCCUGCGAUGUGAAUUUGGAGAAAAACUCUUGUGUUAUCAUAGAGGACGAGGAUUUCCUGAGGUUCAAGAGCUACCAUGUGUUUCCCAAGGACGUACCAAUCUAUAACUCUAUGGUGGUAUGUAGAACCUACAUCACUGAUAUGAGGAACGCAGUACAAUUUUUUGUGGUCAAGCCUGGAAACAGGAGAAAGAUUGUGCAUAUGUUGGAAAGUAUUGAGGAGAUGCCUGAAACCCCACAACAGUUGUAUUUUUGUGGUGGACGUGGGUAUAAGAUGAUAGGGGCUGGGCUCUCCCUCUUCUUUUUUGCAGCCAUAGUGGCGCUGGCCAGUAAACUAGUAUGGUGAUGGGGGCCUUGGACUAUCUGCGCUUGAUGAAUAUUUCAGUGGAUGAGUUUAGAAGCUUUUGUAUCUAUGGCCACCUCAGUGGGCAGCGUGGAUGGGGUGAGCUGUUGUUGAGCAAUCUUUCAUUUAAAAGAGCAGUGUGCCAUAUACUGAAAAUACAGUGUGAGACUAAGAAGAGGUGGACAAACAAGGUAUUGGUGGCGAAUAGUGCGUUGUCCCUACUGACCCUCUUCAGGAUGGUUCUUCAUGAAUGUGUUUUUUCACACAAAUAUUUUAUACCUGACAGGAUCGAGGACAUGUGUUUCCCGCUGACCAAAAUACUCACUGUGCCCUUCCUCAAGGCCCUAGAUCUGUAUCUCUCCCAGUUUUCCAUCUCAUGCAAGUUUCCCAUAAUUAAAAUAUCCACUGUGAAUCCUACCCUUCUGGCGUUUACCAAGAAGAAAUAUCUGGCUAGUGUUGUGUCUGAUCAACCCAUCGAGGUCCCUGCUCCAUCUGCCCGGCCUGAUCCUGUGAGGUUUACUGCUGCGGUGCCCUUAGCUUCUGAUGAGCAGUCUCUGGUGAAAGCUUUACAUUCCAGUACCGGGACAGUCCAGUGUGGAAAUCCAUUUUAUUAUAUGAUGACCAGACUUUGCUUGUAUGGACUAAUGCAUGGUAGGGGGGGAAUUGUGCCAGUUUCCAGCUCUAGUAAGCAGAGUGUAUAUGAUGUGGCUAUAAGAUUUAUAGGUUCUAGGAUAUUGAGCCCGAUAGUGAGGCUGCCAAUUUUAUCCAGGGCUUUGGCAGACCUGGCGCUGACGGGGCACGGUCAUCAGAUAACAGUGUGUAAUGAAUGUGGCCACUGUUUAAAUUUGGGCAGGGAUAAAUUUCUUGCAGUAAAUUUUUCCCCCACAAGUAUGUUUUAUUGCAGAGAUCAAAAGGAGAAACAGUUUAACAUAUGUGCUACAACUGGGAGGAUCUAUUGUUCAUAUUGUGGGGCGACAGAGUUUACAGUGUAUGACAUGGUGGGAAGGUAUGCUACGGGGGAGCCUUUUAUUAGGGCGGUUUCCUCAGCUAACUCCCUUAGUAUUUUAGAUAAUAGCGAACAGGAGUGUGAUAUACUGAUCCCUUGUUUUGGUAAAUCUAGGUCUUGCAGUAUUAAGCUGAGGGCGACAUUUAGGGAGCUACUUUAUUUGACAGCGUCUGUUGAUAAUUUUAUUUGUCAAAAGUGUUCCAAUAAGGGUGAUGAAUAAAGACAGGGU